AGAUUAAGUUAUUAAGGGCGCACGGUGGAUGCCUUGGCACUAGAAGCCGAUGAAGGACGUUACUAACGACGAUAUGCUUUGGGGAGCUGUAAGUAAGCUUUGAUCCAGAGAUUUCCGAAUGGGGAAACCCAGCAUGAGUUAUGUCAUGUUAUCGAUAUGUGAAUACAUAGCAUAUCAGAAGGCACACCCGGAGAACUGAAACAUCUUAGUACCCGGAGGAAGAGAAAGAAAAUUCGAUUCCCUUAGUAGCGGCGAGCGAAACGGGAAGAGCCCAAACCAACAAGCUUGCUUGUUGGGGUUGUAGGACACUCUAUACGGAGUUACAAAGGACGACAUUAGACGAAUCAUCUGGAAAGAUGAAUCAAAGAAGGUAAUAAUCCUGUAGUCGAAAAUGUUGUCUCUCUUGAGUGGAUCCUGAGUACGACGGAGCACGUGAAAUUCCGUCGGAAUC
This 451-nucleotide ribosomal RNA is filed under the name Staphylococcus aureus. Its description in RNAcentral is "partial 23S ribosomal RNA". It matches the Rfam family "Bacterial large subunit ribosomal RNA", at positions 1 to 444 of the family's 2925-position model. Lineage: Bacteria; Bacillati; Bacillota; Bacilli; Caryophanales; Staphylococcaceae. The record is from RNAcentral. RNAcentral also lists the same sequence under 2 other names.